UUCUUAUGGGUUCAUAUAUAAACCAUUAAAAAGUUGACUCUCUAAACUGUUUCAGUAAGCGUAACACAAAAAUGCUCAUUUUCAGAAAAUCUAGAAUUGAAAAAAUAAAACAAAAAUGCUCAUAGAGUCCGCUUUCUACACUGCAAUCCACACGACAAAACUAUUUUGUGAAAAAACAUUGCAAUUUAUUAAAAUUUAGCAUUUUCUCAAU
RNAcentral lists this long non-coding RNA (211 nucleotides) under Mytilus galloprovincialis (Mediterranean mussel). Lineage: Eukaryota; Metazoa; Mollusca; Bivalvia; Mytilida; Mytilidae. The record is from RNAcentral.